Molecule: ribosomal RNA, 461 nt
Filed under: uncultured bacterium
Lineage: Bacteria
Description: partial 16S ribosomal RNA
Rfam family: Bacterial small subunit ribosomal RNA
Source: RNAcentral
CCUACGGGAGGCAGCAGUGAGGAAUAUUGGUCAAUGGACGAGAGUCUGAACCAGCCAAGCAGCGUGAAGGAUGAAUGCCCUCUGGGUUGUAAACUUCUUUUAUAUGGGAAUAAAAUGUUCCACGUGUGGGUUUUUGUAUGUACCAUAUGAAUAAGGAUCGGCUAACUCCGUGCCAGCCGCCGAGGUAAUACGGGGGAUGCAAGCGUUAUCCGGAUUUAUUGGGUUUAAAGGGUGCGUAGGCUGUGAGGUAAGUCAGCGGUGAAAUGCCCCCGCUCAACGGGGUGAAGUGCCAUGGAUACUGCCUGGCUGGAGUGCGGAUGCCGUGGGAGGAAUGUGUGGUGUAGCGGUGAAAUGCAUAGAUAUCACACAGAACACCGAUUGCGAAGGCAUCUCACGAAUCCGCGAUUGACGCUGAUGCACGAAAGCGUGGGUAUCAAACAGGAUUAGAUACCCGAGUAGUC